Molecule: long non-coding RNA, 595 nt
Organism: Cynara cardunculus var. scolymus (artichoke)
Lineage: Eukaryota; Viridiplantae; Streptophyta; Magnoliopsida; Asterales; Asteraceae
Exons: 2
Source: RefSeq, a predicted model, not a curated record
AUUCACCAUGUUAUCAUCUGAUCUCUUUCGCCGAUGUCAAAUGUUCAUCAAAGUUUUCUUCCUGCAACGAAGCUGUGAAUGAUCUGUGAUUUUCUUAUCAUUUGCUUUCAGGAAUUUGGACCUAUUGCCGAUAAAAAUGUGAAUCGGUCUCUCGUAAACGUCAGGGAAAUAUAGCUGGGCAUCGUUAUUGGGUGAACCUCUUGAUUAAUUCAUGAUGGAAAAGGUUCAGUAAACGAAGCUAUAUUCUAUAAAAGAAUUACGUAUUCGAAUUGUAAAAUGUUUUGAAAAUAUUCAUUGAUUUUGCAUCGAAAAUACUGAUUACCAGCGCUCUUAAAUUUCAAUAGGUGUUGUGUAUGAGCCGAUGCAAUAUUGAUUUCUUCUCCGCUUUCUGAAUAAUCAGUUUCUGAGGUUUUAGCUCUCUCUUCCAUGAGCCAUAAUUAUUUCAGAUGUGGAGAAAAGUAGUUUUUACAUUUGAAAAUUUUGAGAUGAUGGAUGUGAUGAUUAUUUCCCCAGAUGAUCGAAUCUGAAAUAACUGAGCGCUCAUAUUCAAUUUUUCUCUUUCUGGAGAAAAAUCCAAGCCAGAAAUCUGAUCCAU